AACGAACGCUGGCGGCAUGUCUAACACAUGCAAGUCGAACGAGACCUUCGGGUCUAGUGGCGCACGGGUGCGUAACGCGUGGGAACCUGCCCUUAGGUUCGGAAUAACUCCCCGAAAGGGGUGCUAAUACCGGAUAAUGUCUUCGGACCAAAGAUUUAUCGCCUUUGGAUGGGCCCGCGUUGGAUUAGCUAGUUGGUAGGGUAAAAGCCUACCAAGGCGACGAUCCAUAGCUGGUCUGAGAGGAUGAUCAGCCACACUGGGACUGAGACACGGCCCAGACUCCUACGGGAGGCAGCAGUGGGGAAUAUUGGAAAAUGGGCGAAAGCCUGAUCCAGCAAUGCCGCGUGAGUGAUGAAGGCCUUAGGGUUGUAAAGCUCUUUUACCCGGGAUGAUAAUGACAGUACCGGGAGAAUAAGCUCCGGCUAACUCCGUG
This 433-nucleotide ribosomal RNA is filed under the name uncultured bacterium. RNAcentral describes it as "partial 16S ribosomal RNA". It matches the Rfam family "Bacterial small subunit ribosomal RNA", at positions 29 to 507 of the family's 1533-position model. The record is from RNAcentral.